This 203-nucleotide microRNA precursor is filed under the name Oryza glumipatula. RNAcentral's name for it is "MIR812 microRNA precursor family". It matches the Rfam family "MIR812 microRNA precursor family". Lineage: Eukaryota; Viridiplantae; Streptophyta; Magnoliopsida; Poales; Poaceae. The record is from Rfam by way of RNAcentral.
AAUGUAUGACGCCAUUGAUUUUUUGUUUAACGUUUGACCAUUCGUUUUAUUCAAAAUUUUAUGUAAUUAUUAUUUAUUUUAUUAUGACUUGAUUCGUCAUCAAAUAUUUUUUAAGCAUGACAUAAAUAUUUUCAUAUUUGCAAAAAAAAUUGAAUAAAACGAAUGGUCAAACGUUGGUCGAAAAGCCAACGGCGUCAUACAUU